RNAcentral lists this long non-coding RNA (516 nucleotides) under Manihot esculenta (cassava). RNAcentral describes it as "long non-coding RNA (MESC_LNC009433)". The record is from RNAcentral. Lineage: Eukaryota; Viridiplantae; Streptophyta; Magnoliopsida; Malpighiales; Euphorbiaceae.
UUUAUUCAACAUAAAUUUCAAGGACCUUAUAAAGGGGGCUACAGGCCCUUUGGCAGUUCCACAUGAGAAUAGACAAAGGAACAAAAGCAAGAAGAGGUCAAAGCUUAUCUUAAUCCCUUAAAAAGGGGUCAUGAAAGGGCUCCUCCUCAAAGGACCUCCCUUCAACAUCAUCAGUGGCUUCACUGUCAUCAGAGAAAUCGUUAUCUUCGCUCUUAUCCUUAGCCAUUAAAACCCGGUUGACUUGGUGAGCAAGGUCAAGAGCUGUACUUGCAAAUCUAUGAUUAGAAGGAUAAAAAACAGCAGCGGAGUUAAUCAUACAUGAGCUUAGGACCGGAGGUUUGUUGAGUUUUCUGGUAUUACAUAGCUCCGCUAAAGAUGGAAGAUAGAUUUCCAUGAUACUCACAUCACUGUUAUCCUUUGCAACACUAGCAUCAGUAGAUGGCCUAACAGCUGUGUGCUUGGAGGAGUCAAGAGUGGUUAGGACAUAUUCCAGGGCCUCCUUCUAGGCAAGAGUUG